AGUUUUAUAAUUUAAACAAAAUAUUAAACUGCAAAUUUAAAAAUAUAAUUUUAUUAAAACUU
This 62-nucleotide transfer RNA is filed under the name Idris sp. MM-2013. RNAcentral's name for it is "tRNA-Cys". Lineage: Eukaryota; Metazoa; Arthropoda; Insecta; Hymenoptera; Scelionidae. The record is from RNAcentral.